RNAcentral lists this unclassified non-coding RNA (758 nucleotides) under Hevea brasiliensis (rubber tree). The record is from RNAcentral. Lineage: Eukaryota; Viridiplantae; Streptophyta; Magnoliopsida; Malpighiales; Euphorbiaceae.
CACACACACACACAUAUAUAUAUCCACUAAUUAUAGCUAUUCUGAUGGAUCCACCCAUACUUGUUUUUGAAGCUUGCUCACCAGAUUUUUGUCUAGAUGGAAUGCCUUUGUUAGAACAUCAGAAUUAAUGGGUGGAUCGGAUCCAAAAACUGCAUUUGCUAUUGUAUUGACUCCUGGAUUUUGGCUAGUUAAUGUAGCCAAUGCAACUGCUGGGGUUUUUCCAAUAUUCAACUGGAAGUGAAUCAGCCCAAAUGGAAAUAGAAACACAUCUCCUGGCUUGAGAACUUUGGUGAAAAGGCGAUGAUCAGGAUUAGAUGUGACAAAACCAGCAUAGACUGUUCCUUCCAAGACUGUAAGUAACUCGGCAGCCCGAGGGUGAUUGUGUGGUGGGUUUAGGCCACCAUUGGCUGCAUAAUCAAUACGAACUAAUGUUAUACCGUUUGUAUUAAGUCCUGGGAUCACAUCAGCAUCUACGAUAUUGAUAUGCACUCCAAGUUGGUUUGAGGUGUCUCCAGCCACAUUAAGUCCAGAAAAGAAGAAAUCAUCUGCCGUCGCAUGAUUUGGAUCCUUGCAGAAUUUUCCAUUCACAAACACAGCAGAAUCGGUGCCAUUGCUUGCUACACAGAAGUCUUGGAGAGGGCUGGGAUCAUAGGCAAUGGCAGAGGAGAAAGCCAAAGCCAAGACUGCGAGAGCUACAAGGAAAUUAACAACUUUCAUCGUGUGGUUGGGAGCUUAGAGUUUUGCCUAGGAUGUUUUUA